UACGUAGGUGGCAAGCGUUGUCCGGAAUUACUGGGUGUAAAGGGAGCGCAGGCGGGGAGACAAGUCAGCUGUGAAAUGCAUAGGCUUAACCUAUGAAUUGCAGUUGAAACUGUUUUUCUUGAGUGGAGUAGAGGUAGACGGAAUUCCGAGUGUAGCGGUGAAAUGCGUAGAUAUUCGGAGGAACACCAGUGGCGAAGGCGGUCUACUGGGCUCUAACUGACGCUGAGGCUCGAAAGUGUGGGGAGCAAACAGGAUUAGAUACCCCU
This 266-nucleotide ribosomal RNA is filed under the name uncultured prokaryote. RNAcentral describes it as "partial 16S ribosomal RNA". It matches the Rfam family "Bacterial small subunit ribosomal RNA", at positions 524 to 788 of the family's 1533-position model. The record is from RNAcentral.